CUUUUCCCGCCUAUAUACCACCGUCGCAAGCUUACCCUGUGAAGGACUAACAGUAAGCACAAUCGGCACAGCCCAGAACGUCAGGUCGAGGUGUAGUGCAUGGGAGGGGAAGAAAUGGGCUACAUUCGCUGCCUCCAGCGAACACGAAUGAUGCAUUGAAACAUGCAACUGAAGGAGGAUUUAGCAGUAAGCAGGAAGUAGAGCGUCCCGCUGAAGCCGGCUCUUAAGCGCGCACACACCGCCCGUCACCCUCUCCGAGCAGCUGGCCCUGAAUUUUUCUUAAACCAUUACAAUCGCGAAGGAGAGGAAAGUCGUAACAUGGUAAGCGUACCGGAAGGUGCGCUUGGUUAAAU
This 353-nucleotide ribosomal RNA is filed under the name Selaroides leptolepis (yellowstripe scad). RNAcentral's name for it is "partial 12S ribosomal RNA". It matches the Rfam family "Bacterial small subunit ribosomal RNA", at positions 1029 to 1533 of the family's 1533-position model. The record is from RNAcentral. Lineage: Eukaryota; Metazoa; Chordata; Actinopteri; Carangiformes; Carangidae.